This 460-nucleotide ribosomal RNA is filed under the name uncultured bacterium. RNAcentral describes it as "partial 16S ribosomal RNA". It matches the Rfam family "Bacterial small subunit ribosomal RNA", at positions 338 to 795 of the family's 1533-position model. The record is from RNAcentral.
CCUACGGGGGGCUGCAGUGAGGAAUAUUGGUCAAUGGGCGAGAGCCUGAACCAGCCAAGUCGCGUGAAGGAUGACGGCCCUACGGGUUGUAAACUUCUUUUGUCAGGGAGCAAUUGAGUCCACGUGUGGUCUUAGCGAGAGUACCUGAAGAAAAAGCAUCGGCUAACUCCGUGCCAGCAGCCGCGGUAAUACGGAGGAUGCGAGCGUUAUCCGGAUUUAUUGGGUUUAAAGGGUGCGUAGGCGGAAUAUCAAGUCAGCGGUAAAAAUUCGGGGCUCAACCCCGUCGUGCCGUUGAAACUGAUGUUCUUGAGUGGGCGAGAAGUAUGCGGAAUGCGUGGUGUAGCGGUGAAAUGCAUAGAUAUCACGAGGAACCCCGAUUGCGAAGGCAGCCUGCCGGGGUGCGACUGACGCUGAGGCUCGAAGGUGCGGGUAUCAAACAGGAUUAGAUACCCUGGUAGUC